GGCGUCGUCCCCGCCCACCGCGCACGCGCCACCACCAGGAGCCUCAUCUCCGCGCUCUAGCUGGAGGAGGUUCUGGUCCUUCACGCGGUCCAGAGCGGGGCGUCCAGGGGAAGGCUCACUGUGGACGAGACGUGAGGGGAAGAUGGAGACCAGUGUGGCUGGGAGGCGUGGACGCGGACGGCAUGGAGGUAGCGGCUAGCACUCAGCGCCGGUGCCAGUCAAUCUAGCCGCAGCCCGACCUCGGGAGGUAGUUGCCAUGGAGGCGGAACGGUGAGAAGGGAGCGGCAAGGGCGGAGACAUCCGUGUCGGCCACGGGUCCGGCGGCGACCGACGGCUAUGCGAGUCGGUGCGCAGGUUUUGAACUGCCAUGAUUAUGAUAUGUACAUAUAUUAGCACCGGUGCGGUAUGCUACUAAUACUAAUGUUCUUCGUGCUGCUGGUAAGGUCUAUAUGGGAUCGUUUUACCGGUGUGGGAUCUCUUUAUUUUGCUGAUAGGCGUGCAGUAUUGGGAAUGGGCCAUAUGUUUUAAAGAUUUAUGGGGUGAUUGCUCACAAGAUCGGUUCUUGCCUUCUCCUGCGGAUACCCCUACUCACAAACAAUCUCAGUCAUAUAUUUAAGAUACACAGAACAAGCUGGAUCGUAGGAUGGACAUUCUGGUACAAAUGAUGGUGAAGAGGACGAGGGUCCUGCUAUAGAUGAUCAAUAGUUGCCUUCAGCUCUAUGCCUGUGCCACAACGGAGGAUGUUGGUCCUUCUGUAUUGGAUGCUGAGCCGUCAUGUCCAUCUCACAAUUUAUGAUGGUACACAAAGGAGCCAGAUGCCACGAUGUACUCUCGAUCAUGAGAAUGCCUAAUGGUUGUAAUCCUCUGGUGCAGAAAUUUCGUAUGGCCCAAUAGUGGUUGUUUUAUCCUCAAACUCCACAAGUGGCCAGCCGUUCAUAUGGUCAUGAGGGGGCAAAUCUAGGUGACUCGAGAAAGGUUUUAAUGAUCUUGUGGUAGAUGAAAUUGGUGUACCAACCAUGGAGCGAAGAAAGGAAGUGCUUGACCAUCUCUAAAAGCAUAGCAGUAAUUUACAGUUUCAAUGGGCAGAGGGAAGUCAAGCGCCCAAGGCAAUGAUAUGCUCUCAUGACUUAUGCUGCUGUUGAAGGGCUUCAAAUGUUAAGAACAGGCGUGAACCAUAUGUGGGGCCACCUUGAUGAAAUUCUUACAGGCAGGGGAGCAUCGAGUGUAAAAGUCACUUUCCAGGUUUACUGAGUUGCUGGAACAAAAUCAUCAUCUAAUGUCUUCGCCACCAUCAUAGUCACAUGGCCAGGACCGGUCCUAGAGCCAAAAUGACCUGGUGUCAUCCAAUAGGUCGUACAUAAUUUUCAUUUCAUGUAUGGGUGUCACUCACUAUGAAUACAUGUAAUAUAUCAAAGGAAAUUGGUUUGUACCCGGUGUGCUGUGACACCUGUUGGCUGAACCUAGGUACGCCCCUGAUCAUGACCUGGAACUAAGAAACCUCUUGACUACCACAUUGGGCUAUCUAUGCAUUGUGCGUCAAUGGUGGACUUGGUGUUGUGGAUAUAGAUGGCAGCUUCCUUAGUUUUUGCAGGAUGUUUCAUGUCUAUUUUCAUCUAUACAUCUCCUUACAGCCUUCUAGGAUAUUUCUCACGAGGUUCAGAAGGCGAGGUGCCUUAGCAGGCAGCCAAAAUUGGAUGCCUGUUUUUUUGUUGGCACUGCAUUAUAUUUGAUGUACAUAUGUUCAGUUGCUGAGGUAAGAUCUCAGCAGUUAUUUUGCCAUGUUCUCUUUGUUGCUCCAUUGUAACAGAGCCACAGUUAUGUUCUUCCAAGUUUUAUGUGAGUAUGGUUAAUAUGUUCUUUCCUCAUUUUCAUUACCCUUUUUGCUGCAUCUCUCUACUUAGUUCGGUGGAAGGCUGCAAUAUUUAUAUUGCCAUUUAUGGUUUCACCACGGCACCGAAGAAGCAAAGGCCUGAAUGUUAGGUUCUGCAGUCCUGAACUUUGGAACUUAGAUAUGAUUGUCCUCUGGUCCAGCUUUGUGUAAUUAAAUGUAACUGCUCAUAAAUUGGUUUCCAAUUUUCUUAAUCAAAUGUUGUCUUUUGGUAGUUUU
Molecule: long non-coding RNA, 2107 nt
Organism: Lolium rigidum
Lineage: Eukaryota; Viridiplantae; Streptophyta; Magnoliopsida; Poales; Poaceae
Exons: 6
Source: RefSeq, a predicted model, not a curated record